RNAcentral lists this unclassified non-coding RNA (256 nucleotides) under Hevea brasiliensis (rubber tree). The record is from RNAcentral. Lineage: Eukaryota; Viridiplantae; Streptophyta; Magnoliopsida; Malpighiales; Euphorbiaceae.
UCCCACUUACAGGAAGGUAUCCAUAAAAGUUAAAAAUCUGUGAUCAUUUCAAAGCUAAUAAGUAAUGGGCCAUAUAAUCACUCAAAAAACCUGUUUUAUUGUCCACGUGAUCAGAAAAGGAGAAGAUGUUGUUUCAAACUAGAUGUUAGUGCAAGUCAUAAUGGAUAAAGAAUAACCAUGUUGAAAAAAGCAAACAGAAAUUCACUAAGAUCCUUAACAGCAAAUGGAACUAACCUUUCCAGGCUUUAUUGCAGUC